GGGGACGUGGCCAAGCGGCUAAGGCAGUAGGCUGCAACCCUGCGAUCCUGGGUUCGAGUCCCAGCGUCCCCU
This 72-nucleotide transfer RNA is filed under the name Candidatus Pacearchaeota archaeon. Its description in RNAcentral is "tRNA-Cys". It matches the Rfam family "tRNA". From Rfam's summary of the family: Transfer RNA (tRNA) molecules are approximately 80 nucleotides in length. Their secondary structure includes four short double-helical elements and three loops (D, anti-codon, and T loops). Lineage: Archaea; Nanobdellati. The record is from RNAcentral. RNAcentral also lists the same sequence under 1 other name.